UGGGAUUACAGGUGUGAGCCACUGUGUCCGGCCAAGUCCCAACUUUUUUUGAGAGGGUCUCACUCUGUCACCGAGGCUGGAGUGCAGUGACAUAAUCAUGGCUCACUGCAGCCUCGAUGCCCCAGGCUCAAGUGAUCAUCCUUCUUCCUUGGUAGUUGGGACUACAGGUAUGCAUGACAUCUCGCCAAUUUUUAAAGUUUUUGUAGAGGCUAGGCAUGGUGGCUAACCCUUGUAAUCCCAGCACUUUGGGAGGCCGAGGCGGGCAGAUGACCUGAGGCCAGGAGUUCGAGACCAACCUGGGCAACAUGAAGCCCUGUCUCUACAAAAAGGCUGGGUGAGGUGGCUCACGCCUGUAAUCCCAG
RNAcentral lists this long non-coding RNA (362 nucleotides) under Homo sapiens (human). RNAcentral's name for it is "HSALNT0256044". The record is from RNAcentral. Lineage: Eukaryota; Metazoa; Chordata; Mammalia; Primates; Hominidae.